CUUUGGGGUCUCCUGCACAGCAAACAAGUCAUUCAACCUUCAUUCUGCAACAUACCUUGCGCCCUGUUCUUUUAUAAGCAGAGAACAGAGACAUCAAUUCAAAGAAGUCAGACGCUAUACAGAAGACCUCACAGCCCCACACACCCUUCUAAUCCUCACUGGGAAUAUGAGAUCACACCUGGUCUGUGCCCUCUCCAAGGUGUGAAGGAAUAACCAACAGUACAGAAAGGUUAAUGACUUUCUCUGCUCUAUCCAGCUCCACUACUUACAAGGACACUGAAUGGGUCAGAGUGCAAGCUUUGUCAUACAUCACCAGCAGAUCCAUAGAAGGAAAUCGAG
This is a non-coding RNA of Chiloscyllium plagiosum (whitespotted bambooshark), 339 nucleotides long. The record is from RefSeq and is a predicted model, not a curated record. Lineage: Eukaryota; Metazoa; Chordata; Chondrichthyes; Orectolobiformes; Hemiscylliidae.